This is a non-coding RNA of Zootermopsis nevadensis, 1767 nucleotides long. Lineage: Eukaryota; Metazoa; Arthropoda; Insecta; Blattodea; Termopsidae. The record is from RefSeq and is a predicted model, not a curated record.
UUUAUGGUACUGCAUCGCUUAUGUUUGUAUCGUGUUUUGUAUUUGUUAUGUGUUACGUGGAUUGUAAUUUGGUGCUGUGGUGGAACUAUGCUGCAAAGAAAAAUUUGUAAACAAGUGAAGCUGGAUGCCGUCGGUGUGAAACCUGUCUAUGCGUCUAGAGAACGUGAGAAAGAAGUUAGCAUUUAGUUCUGAAAGAAAUGUCAACGCGUUCUGAUUCCAGUAGUGAGAGUCAACCGUCAACAAACAUUGCAGUUCGCUGUAAGCUCCCUACGUCAACAAUCUCGUCUACUCGAAACCAUCACUGAAGAAAUUAGCACAAAGAUAUGGGAGGAAGCGGUCGUGGCCAAAUUUAAGGUGCAAUCCCAGUGGUUGACCGGAUGGAGUCAGGAAAACCAAGGAAAAUCUCAGCUAAGCUAGAGGGUCUUCUGGCCGAGGUUUAAACUCCUGAAGAUUGGAUGCACGUUUGCCGGCCUUUGGGACCUGCUGACUGCGAAGCACGAGAGCGAUCCAAUACACGGAGAUACUCUAUCAAUGCGAAGAACCGUGUAGGACCAAGACUUCUAGCCCAGUUUCUGUCGAAUCACUUGUCGUGAUCAUUACUUCAUAAAUGAACAUUUUAUUAUCAAACUAGCCUGCGUGUAAAUUUGGCUUGCACUCUCUACUGCACCGUAAGGCGCAAAAUCCCAGAAGACAGCCAGUCAUCUUCAUACUCGUCGCCGUUAAAACCUGAAAUAUUAUCUGUUAUAAAUUUAGUUUGUAUACAGACUCAAUGUGAAUUUUUAGUUUAUUUAAUAACUUUGUCAGUAUCUCGGACUGUAUAGCUAAGAGUGCUAGACGAUUAAUGAAUAAUGAAUGGGAAAGGACAUGGAAAGAAGCUGUCAUGGCCUAUUUUUUGCUAUCCCUGCAUUUGCCUGGAGGAACUAAGAAAUAUCACGGAGAGCCGGUUUCCGGACCGAGAUUUGAACCAGGGAGAUCCCGAAUAUGUAGCAGGAGUAGUAACACUCGGCUGCAACGGAAAGAUAAUUUUUUAGGGACACGUUUCAGAUUCUCGGGGAUUUGAUAUGUGUCGUUCUCUGUUUUAAAUACUGCACUUCCGUGUUUGAAACGUGGCAGCUACAAGCCUGUCGUCCGGUACUUACAUAUUUCAUUUAACACAUCCUUAUUGAGUUUAUGAUUAUCUGAAGGACGUCUGAUUACGGAAGGCAAAGAGGCAGUCACGUGGCGAUAAUCAAGUGGACAAUCGAUUCAAUCUGAGAAGAGGCUGAAAGUAAUCUAUUUCGUGGUAUCCACAGCGUUACACAAUAUGUCGUAAAGUAUAUAUUUAUGAAACAGGGGUCAUCAAUUUUGUUAAAAAAGAAAAUUAUUUUGUUCAUUAAUGCAUUAAUCAGAUAACCAGAUGACAUUCAUCCGUUAAAAUAAAUGUACAACGUUCAUUAAUAAAAAGAGUUUUGAAACGCGGCAUCAUUCCGUUCUGGGAGAUAAGUUCAUGACGAAAGGCUUCUGGGACUUUACUCUCGCCUUAAUAAUGACGCAAAAGACCGCUGUCUAUGCAAAUUCACACCGUAGAAGAUGCACCAAGGGGAUUAUAUGUGGGUAACUGAGAUAGUAGAAAGAACACAGUUUUUGAUGGGAUUGCACCUGGAAUAGUGGAAAGGGGGUAGAAAUAUAAAAUUAAAAUCAGUCAAAUAAUGGAUUUUUAUGUUUAACGUGUAACAGGAAAACAUAUAUUUCCUCUGGAAUAAACAAUAAAAGUCUAGAUUCGUAUUA